RNAcentral lists this long non-coding RNA (1202 nucleotides) under Astyanax mexicanus (Mexican tetra). RNAcentral describes it as "lncRNA (ENSAMXG00005014131.1)". Lineage: Eukaryota; Metazoa; Chordata; Actinopteri; Characiformes; Acestrorhamphidae. The record is from RNAcentral.
CAGCGACAUUAGCUCACAGAUUCCUUCUGCUGAUUGACAUCACCCUUUGGAGUGAUGAGGGGAGAGAGCGCCAUCUACCCACCCAGAGACAGCAAGGCAAAUAGUGCUCUUUCAGGGCUCUGGCAGCUGAUGGCAAGCUGCAUGACCAGGAUUCGAACCGGUGAUCUCCCGAUCAUAAUGGCAGUGGCAUAAUAGUCCGAUGGACCACUCAGACCCCCAGUAUACAGUAUUUAUAGAACUACAAUGUUAUCUUAUAUAAUCAGUGGAGCUGAGGAGGUGGUCAUAAUGUUCUGCCUUACAGACUGUUGUUUUUUCCUGCCCGUUCUCUUUGUACUCCACUAACUCCGCCUGCUGUGUUCUUUGUAUGUCCGCAGAUGUCACACAGGAAACUAAUGAUAUGAAUGGCAUCGUCACCUCCAGGGACCCUUUGCUGGGGCCUGUGGAGCCCAAUCAGGAAACACUGAUACCUGGCAACGCUGCCAAGGCCCUUCCCCCUUUCCCCACCCAGAGUCCGGAGCAUGCAGACACUGUUGAACUGCUGGAGGAGCACACAGACCACACACGGCCCUCCUCUCCAGAAGUAUGGAAAAUUGGAGCGAUAGCAGCAGCGUUCUUCCUCAUUCUACAAACUGUCAUUACCGUCAUCUACAUUCUCAAGUGUAAAAGAAAGACUAGCAGUGGUGCAAGAAAAGACAAAGCAUGUGAGGAGGGAAAAGGAGGUGUUGAAAACAACAUGGCAAUGACAGAAACAAGCGUACCAGCAGAAGAACAAAACUCUUUGGACAGUCUGCCGAUAUACUCGAAGGUCCAGCAAGAGUCUAUCCCAAUGAAAACUAUCCCAGCAGACUCUACAGUGGUGUAAUCAUUAUAUGACCCAUCAACACCUUUGCUUUAGAACUGCUUAAACACCACUGACCAAUACAGACAUUGUUGACUGUCUGUAUCUUUGUGACUGUGGUUUACAACAGACUGUUGGUUUUACAUGUUUAUGAUAGUUUACUUGUGAUACGUUGUUUUAUUGUUGUAUUAUUUCUUGUUACCUUCAUCACGUAAUACUAAAUCUAUAUAGUUUAGUGUUGACAGUAUACUGUAGGUAUAUAUACACACUAUACAUCUGUACUGUAGUUGGUUGUGAUUUGAGUGGAUUAAAUAUUCUAUAAAAAAAAAAGGAAUGGUAAGAAUAAAGUAUGUCAGAUAAUUUG